GCCGCGGUAGCUCAGUUGGUAGAGCAUCGCGCGCGCAAGGCGAAGGUUGUGGGUUCGGUUCCCACCUGCGGCA
Non-coding RNA from Dermacentor andersoni, 73 nucleotides. The record is from the annotation of a RefSeq genome assembly. NCBI's taxonomy places the organism in Eukaryota, Metazoa, Arthropoda, Arachnida, Ixodida, Ixodidae.